RNAcentral lists this ribosomal RNA (486 nucleotides) under uncultured bacterium. Its description in RNAcentral is "partial 16S ribosomal RNA". It matches the Rfam family "Bacterial small subunit ribosomal RNA", at positions 28 to 523 of the family's 1533-position model. The record is from RNAcentral.
GACGAACGCUGGCGGCGUGCUUAACACAUGCAAGUCGAACGAUGAAGCCCAGCUUGCUGGGUGGAUUAGUGGCGAACGGGUGAGUAACACGUGAGUAACCUGCCCUUGACUCUGGGAUAAGCGCUGGAAACGGCGUCUAAUACCGGAUACGACCUGCCCCGGCAUCGGGUGCGGGGGGAAAGUUUUUCGGUCAAGGAUGGACUCGCGGCCUAUCAGCUAGUUUGUGAGGUAAUGGCUCACCAAGGCGACGACGGGUAGACGGCCUGAGAGGGUGACCGGCCACACUGGGACUGAGACACGGCCCAGACUCCUACGGGAGGCAGCAGUGGGGAAUAUUGCACAAUGGGCGAAAGCCUGAUGCAGCAACGCCGCGUGGGGGAUGACGGCCUUCGGGUUGUAAACCUCUUUUAGUAGGGAAGAAGGGCUUCGGCUUGACGGUACCUGCAGAAAAAGCACCGGCUAACUACGUGCCAGCAGCCGCCGUAA